This 256-nucleotide ribosomal RNA is filed under the name uncultured bacterium. RNAcentral describes it as "partial 16S ribosomal RNA". It matches the Rfam family "Bacterial small subunit ribosomal RNA", at positions 524 to 776 of the family's 1533-position model. The record is from RNAcentral.
GACAGAGGGUGCAAACGUUGUUCGGAAUUACUGGGCGUAAAGCGCGUGUAGGCGGCUCGGAAAGUCGGAUGUGAAAGCCCUGGGCUUAACCUAGGAAGUGCAUUCGAAACUCUCGGGCUUGAGUUCUGGAGAGGAAGGCGGAAUUCUCGGUGUAGAGGUGAAAUUCGUAGAUAUCGAGAGGAACACCGGUGGCGAAGGCGGCCUUCUGGACAGUGACUGACGCUGAGACGGCGAAAAGCGUGGGGAGCCAAACAGG